CUUUAGCCCCGAUGGGAGCGGCACCUUGUAGAGCGGACAGCGGGAACAGGG
Molecule: non-coding RNA, 51 nt
Organism: Flavobacterium suncheonense GH29-5 = DSM 17707
Lineage: Bacteria; Pseudomonadati; Bacteroidota; Flavobacteriia; Flavobacteriales; Flavobacteriaceae
Source: Rfam